GACGAACGCUGGCGGCGUGCCUAAUACAUGCAAGUCGAACGCUGAAGGAGGAGCUUGCUUCUCUGGAUGAGUUGCGAACGGGUGAGUAACGCGUAGGUAACCUGCCUGGUAGCGGGGGAUAACUAUUGGAAACGAUAGCUAAUACCGCAUAAUAGUAGAUGUUGCAUGACAUUUGCUUAAAAGGUGCAAUUGCAUCACUACCAGAUGGACCUGCGUUGUAUUAGCUAGUUGGUGGGGUAACGGCUCACCAAGGCGACGAUACAUAGCCGACCUGAGAGGGGGAUCGGCCACACUGGGACUGAGACACGGCCCAGACUCCUACGGGAGGCAGCAGUAGGGAAUCUUCGGCAAUGGACGGAAGUCUGACCGAGCAACGCCGCGUGAGGGAAGAAGGUUUUCGGAUCGUAAAGCUCUGUUGUAAGAGAAGAACGAGUGUGAGAGUGGAAAGUUCACACUGUGACGGUAUCUUACCAGAAAGGGACGGCUAACUACGUG
Molecule: ribosomal RNA, 495 nt
Filed under: uncultured bacterium
Lineage: Bacteria
Description: partial 16S ribosomal RNA
Rfam family: Bacterial small subunit ribosomal RNA
Source: RNAcentral